This 3133-nucleotide long non-coding RNA is filed under the name Homo sapiens (human). RNAcentral describes it as "HSALNT0310564". The record is from RNAcentral. Lineage: Eukaryota; Metazoa; Chordata; Mammalia; Primates; Hominidae.
UCAUUCAUUUACUGUUUUAUUCAUUCAGAAACACAGUAAGUACCAAAUUGUGCAAGACAUAAUGACUAGACACAGUUCCCGCCCUUGGAAUGUGUCGUUCAGUGUCACGGGAAGAGUACUGGCCCUGGAGUCAUCCAAGUUGGGCUUAAGUCCUGGUUUUGCCACUUAGUAGCUGUGUGACCUUGAGGAAGUUAUUCAUUCUUUCGGAGUCUAAGCUUUCUUACUUAUAAAGUGGGCGUGCAAAGCCGACUUUGAUAGUUUGCUGUGAGGAUUAGAGCUACAGCUUUUGGAAUUCCUGGCACCGAAUAAGGGCUCUCUUAUUGACAUAUUCUUGGAUAACUGUUGUAUAAGGUAAAAAAAGAAGAGUGGCUAACAUAGGGCAGGGAUGCCUGAAGGGAUUUAUAGAAGGAAGAAAUGGGUAACGGUUGAGGGGUAGAGGGUCCAAGUGAGAUAUCAAGGAAGGAUUCCUGGAAGAGGUGGGAUUUGAGCUGAUACUUGAAAGCAGAGACUUGCUAUAUCAAGAUGGGAGGAGUGGGAGGUGAGGCUUAGGCUGUGUUCCUUCUCUGGGGAAUUCCCCUUUGUCCUUCUCAGAAACUGGGUCUAAGACCUCAGAGAAAGUAGCAAUAAGGCCAGGGAGUCCUCAGUCCUGAGUCCUAGAGAGUUGCAGAAGUAUCUGCAUCACAUUUUCCUGACUUUCUCUAUUCUGAGUCAUAUUCUUGCAGCUCUUCAUUUUUCAAAUUUCAUUUCGCAAACCUUCAGAGAUGGAAGUUUUGCCACUUUUCACACCAAAAGCACUUACUGUGUUUUUUUUAACCACAUGGCAUCAAACUUUUUCUAAAAAGGUUUGACAUAUGUAAACCACUCAGCUGUAGUUUGUUUCAUUAUUGUAAAAACAAAAGUAGCUGGACUAGAUGAUCGCUGGGGUCCUGUCCAACUUGGCAGGUGUUUGAAUCUCUAUUUGAACCUAAUGGUUCAGGUUCACGAAUAUCUUCUGCCUCUUCUCUGUGUUUCUCUCCUUCUGCUACUCUCUUUUCUGUCUCUGUCUUUCUCUGUCUCUGUGUCUCUCUAUCUAUAACUUUGUCUCAUUCUCUGGCAUUGUCUCUGUCUUUCCAAGCAUGCACCAUUUAAUUUAAGUCAAAUUUCUGGAUGUAUGCUCAACUACUUUUAAUUGCUCUCCAGCCAAGUGUGCCAGCCUGGGAUUAAGAGCCCUGGUCUUUAGCCCUGGCACUAACUCACUGUGUGACCUAGGACAACCCAUUUCCCCUGUGGGUCUGGAUUUUUCUAGAUGUACAAUGAAAGCCUUGGACCAGAUGAGCUCUAAGCCCUUUCCAACUUUGGCAUCUCUCAGGGUCUGUGAUUCCUGAAACAUCAGUGGUUCCUAGACAGGGGUGAAGGAUCUCCCCUUUUACCCCUUGGUGAACAAUCUUUGCCCUCAAGUUCCCUCAGGUGCCUUAGCCUGGCACCAGUUCACCACGGCAAGAGCUGCCUGUAAAAUCUAAUUCACAAUACAAGUUUCUGGGGCCUUCCUGCAGCUGUCAGCAGGUGUCACAUUCACAGUAUUUUGUCUUAAUUACAGCUCUGGGAUUUAUCAGCCAGGCUAGAGACCUCUUCUGGAAUACGACAUCCCCGGGAGCUGUUCCAGGUGCUCCUGUCCCUGCUGCUGCCACACACAGGCCUGUUCCCUGCCGAUGGGGCUGAAGUAGAUUCUGCUUUGCAUGCUGCUCCUGCUGUGUCUCCCACCACUACCUCACAGAGAGCCUGUGUGACAUAGAUAACUCCCACAGCCUUCCCAGGGAUCCAGAGGCAAAGACAUCUACCUGUUUGGGGCAGUGCCAAGGCUCCCACCAGCCCUGGAGCACUUCACAUCCGCUGUCCCAUCCCAAAACCUUGGUGGGCAGAGAAAUAGAGGCGAAAAAUGACUCUUGGAGAAGUUAAGUCACUUGAUCUGGACCACAUAGCAAGUACAGAAUUGGGGUCAGAGUUCCAAAGGCACCUUGCACACAGCCCUAGGAGGAGGUGACCUCCUGUGGUCAUCUGACGCUGACCCUUGGUGAUGGCUCACUGGUUCCCAACCACUUCCAACCUUCCUGCUGUCCUCACUGCUCUAGUCUGGUGGGGCAGUUUCCGGGUUAGCUGGCUGCCUCCUCUACUAACUCCCAGCCACUGACUUCCCAUCAGAGGACCUUCUCUGAGUUGAGACUGUGUGGAAAAGGCUAACAUUCCCUCCAAAAUGUGUGCUCCCUCUUCCAUAGGCCAGAGUGAGCCCUGUGAAGUAGCUGCAUUUCCCAGCCCUCUGCAGUAUAGAGAGAUGGGGGCAUGUCAUUAUUCUUGCCAAUGAUUCUGCCUGGGUGCACAGACUCAAUUCCUGGGGGACAGUGGAGCCACGGGAUGUAAAGGGCCUGCACCCCUGAAUGCCAGAAUGGAGGUGCACUGCCCCCAACCAGGGACAUGGACUGUUAGGUGAGCAAAAAAUAAAUUUUGAUUAGGAUAAGCCACUAAAAUGCUCACCUGUUACAGCAGAUAGCAUUGCCCUAACCCAGUAGUGAGGUGCCAACAAUGGGACACAUUCCGUGAUGUUCCCCAUUCAAUCCUUUGAUCCCCGCAACAGCCCCACAAGGUAUAUAUUAGUACUGUCAUCCUCAUUUUCAGGUAAGGCUCAGGGAGAUUAAGGGAUGCACCCAAGGUCAAACACAACCAGUAGGCAGUAGGCCAGGAUUGAAUCUGGAUGUCUGACUCCAGAGACUUCUGGAGGUUCAGUUACCAGCACACGGUGGAGAUCUUCCUCCACCACCACCACCUAGAGAGAAUGAGCAGGAAACCUCAGAAGAAAUGGCACCCAAAAGAGCCAGAAGUGUCGCCUCAGCCAGCUAAGGUUGGAACCACUUACCAACGCCCAGAAUCACGUCUUUCCAAUCAAACCCAAUGACUGUUCAUCUCUGGGUUUCAGUUUCCUGGUUUGUAAACUCCCAUGAGUAAACAAUCUCUGAUUAUCCCGACCACAGAGAGGGUUCAAUCAGGUGUGCUGGUGGUCUUCAAUCAAACAUGGAUUUACCUCCCCUAUUCUAUUCUUCAAAGAGGGUGACAAAUCUGCAACUCACUUGAAAUCCAUCAAUAAAAAAGAUUAAUAAACAGA